RNAcentral lists this ribosomal RNA (483 nucleotides) under uncultured bacterium. RNAcentral describes it as "partial 16S ribosomal RNA". It matches the Rfam family "Bacterial small subunit ribosomal RNA", at positions 30 to 507 of the family's 1533-position model. The record is from RNAcentral.
AUUGAACGCUGGCGGCAGGCCUAACACAUGCAAGUCGAGCGGAUGAAGGGAGCUUGCUCCUGGAUUCAGCGGCGGACGGGUGAGUAAUGCCUAGGAAUCUGCCUGGUAGUGGGGGAUAACGUCCGGAAACGGGCGCUAAUACCGCAUACGUCCUGAGGGAGAAAGUGGGGGAUCUUCGGACCUCACGCUAUCAGAUGAGCCUAGGUCGGAUUAGCUAGUUGGUGGGGUAAAGGCCUACCAAGGCGACGAUCCGUAACUGGUCUGAGAGGAUGAUCAGUCACACUGGAACUGAGACACGGUCCAGACUCUACGGGAGGCAGCAGUGGGGAAUAUUGGACAAUGGGCGAAAGCCUGAUCCAGCCAUGCCGCGUGUGUGAAGAAGGUCUUCGGAUUGUAAAGCACUUUAAGUUGGGAGGAAGGGCAGUAAGUUAAUACCUUGCUGUUUUGACGUUACCAACAGAAUAAGCACCGGCUAACUUCGUG